This 3498-nucleotide long non-coding RNA is filed under the name Marmota monax (woodchuck). Lineage: Eukaryota; Metazoa; Chordata; Mammalia; Rodentia; Sciuridae. The record is from RNAcentral.
GGCCAGGAGCCCUUCCUACCCUGACCCUUGUCAACCACACCAUUUGAUCCGCGUGAGAAAGCAGUGACCCACCCCAGGCCAUGCCAACUGCUGAUGGGGCCUCUGGGUAGGGGUCCCCUAGGGACAGGAGGCCCUUUUGUGGUACUGCCAUAAAGGUGUCCUCUGUCCUCCUGGAGCCCCUCCAUCAGGCCUUGCCCCGGCCUGGUUGACCUGGGGACUUCUGAACUGGGGUUGCAGAAGGCCAUUGGCAUCUUAGGUGGCACAAAGUCAGAACCAGGGCAGGAAGGCCUUUAUUUAGGUUCAUUUAGAGGCUAAAAAUAGAACACAGAUCUUCCACAGCAAUAAGGCAGGAGAGGAGUCGGACUCCUUCUUCCACUCUUCCUGUAGUCAUGCUCGAAUUUCAGACUGGGCCUUCCUUACUCCAGAGAGAGAGCAAGGGAAAAAACAUUCUGUGUGCUUUGAACAGACCUGCCGGUGCCUGCAAGGGGGCCUUGCUGCUCUUUCAGCCGCACAGGGGACAGCAACUCCGCGACCCUGAAGAGCCCUGGCCUCUGAGCCUUGUGCUCUCACACAGGAAACCAAGUCCAUGUGGCUGCGCAGGAUUUGGACCAGGACUGGCCGGCUGAUGCUCGAUUAAUACAUGUCAAAUAAAGGAAUAACUGAGUGGAAAGGAAAGCAGUUGAUUCUUUCAAUUGGACUCUUUUGUUCUGGUGAAAGUUUGAUGCCAUCGAAUGAGUGAGGACACUGCUGGUGACAGGAGCCCAGCUGAGAUGGGCAGAGGAAGGCAGAGCUCGCUCCCAGCCCCUCACACACCGCUCUGCUGGUCACACGACGGAAAGUCCACACGCAGGCGGAACAGGUGCUCGAGUAACUCAGGGAUCUCACUUGGGGCCCUGCUUCCCCCUCUGGGGGGCUUGGCAACACUGUCCCCAGCGCAGCAAGGCUCUAGGACAUGAUCCGGACGCUGCCCUCCUCAGCGGUGGCUGAGUGGAUUACUGGAGGUGGGCCCAGUUGGAGGAAGCUGGUCACUGGGGCUGAUCCAGUCCCAGCCCCCUCCCCCCCUCUGCUCCUGGGCAGCUUUCCUCGCCGCCGUGCCCCUCCACCACGAUGUCUCUGCAAUGGAGCCAGCUGACCAUGGACCGAGACCUCUGAAACCGCGAUCCAAACUCACAUUUCCUCCUCUAAGAUGUUUUGGAUAAGUAUUUUGGUCUCAGAGACAGAAAGCUGACUCACACAGUGGGCCAUAUCCUUAGGCAGGCUCCUCCCAGCCUGCAGACCCCAGGGAAGGGUCCAUUGGCUCCAGGGACUAGAGAGGCCUCUGGCAGGCAGCAGCACCUGCGUCUGAGAGAGGAGAGGCCCGAUGCAGUGUCGGCUCCUGCAAAGCGCUGUUACCAAAGGACACCACCCGGGGGCAGGAGGAAAGCGACUGUCCCCAACUGAGCAGCACCCACAACACUCAUCCAUUGUUGGCUUCAAAAUUAAAUUUUGCUUAGUUCUAGUGAACUUUGUGCUCUGUGAACCAGGUAAAAAUAACAUGAACAGAAGGUCUCACGAAAGUGUGAUCAGUUGGCUCAUGAAGACGUCGCAGGCACCGGGGAAAAUCAAAUGCUGCGCAAAUAAAAUGGGACUAGGUUUCACAAGUCACCAAGGAAAUCAGCCUUGUUGUUCUGUGCCAUAAAGUGUCACGUGUCCAGAGUGCACCUGAGCCCCAGGAGGUCCAAGACGUCACCACUACUACCCGUCACUGUGUCCAGGCCACUGACAUAGCAGGUACUCAGUAAAUAGUUGCCAGAUAAUGAAUGAUCGAACCAAGUUCACAGUGGGAAGGGGAUUGUCUUCAACAUCAUUGCCUCCCACCCCUCCCUUGUCUCAUCCAGUUGUGUAAAAUGUCAAAAUUAGCAACUGACUCCCUUGGUGUCCUCCUUCCCAGUCAAAAGGCAAAAAUUCCAGAAAGACAUCAUGUUUUGCGCCUCCUGUGUCAUUCACCCCAUGGUGCGAGUUGGUUUUUGAGAUCCUUCCCAAAAAGGGUUAAAAGGGAAGAGCACAGGGCACAGAAGUCUUGGUGAAGACACCACUUCUCUGACUCCCUAGCUUCCCCCCCCUCCCGCAUGACCCUGGCUCCAGGGUGGCCCUGGUCUCCUGACCUCGGAGGAGGCUGAAGAAAGGCCAUUAUUCCAGCUCUGCCCUGAGUCCCAGGAGAGCUGUGGAGCUCCAGGGAGGCCCACUGUGGUGCACUGGGGCAGGAAGCUGUGGCUCUCUGAGACCCUCAGGGGAGAGGCCGUGAUGAAGGAACGCCAGGCCUGCAGCCAGAGGGAGCCUGCGGAGCCAAACCACGCUCCUCUGAGCACGAGAAGUCUCCUCAGGCCCUCCUGCUGCGGGACAGCGGGACAGCAGGACAGCGGGACAGCGGGUGUGUCCAAAGGAGCUGGAGGGCCCUGGCUCCUGUCCAGACGAUGCUGGCAAAAGCGGCGGCACCCUGUAUCCCAGCGGGUGCCCUGGUAAGUAACGAACGAGGCCCUGCACUGUGUGGUUUGACCCAGAAAUGUAGGAAAAUUACUUGAAAGUGGUGGACCGUUCAGGUCCUUGGCCCAUUUAUGAUCUUGGGUUAUUUGUUUUUUUGGUGUUUAGCUUUUUGAGUUCUUUAUGUACCCUGGAGAUUAGUGCUCUAGCUGAUGUGAGGGGUAAAGAUUUGCUCCCGGAUGCAGGCUCUGUUCACCUCACAGAGUGCUUCUUUUGCUGAGAAGAAGCUUUUUAGUUUGAGUCCAUCCCAUUUACUGAUUCUUGAUUUUAAUUCUUGUGCUGUACGAGUCUCCUGAACAGAGACUUCUCAGAAGAGGAUAGACAACCAAUCGGCAAACAUGAAAAAAUGCUCAUCACCUCUAGCGAUUAGAGAAAUGCAAAUCAAAACUAAGAUUUCAUCUCACUCCAGUCAGAACGGCAAUGCUCAAGAAUAUAGGCAACAGUGAGUGUUGGCAAGAAUGUGGGGAGACAGGCUCACUCAUUCACUGCUGGUGGGACUGCAAAUUGGUGCAGCCUAUAUGGAAAGCAGUAGAGUGUGGGAGACCAACCUUGCACGUGACUGAGUCACACUCCAGGCUGGGUGCUGAGGUGCUCAGUCACAGAAAAGUGGCAGAGCUUUCCCCACCCUUCUUGGGGUUCAAGGGUCAGUGUCUGGUGCACGGGUGUGUCUUCCUACAGCCCCGUGGGUGGAGCUACGCUCACCUGUUCCUUUGUAAUCUAACCCCUUGCCCUGUUUAGGAUAGAAUCUUCCAUGGAAGUGCCUUGUGUGUGUCCCCUUCUCUUACUGUGCCCUUGGGUGUGGCCUACCCAGGUGUCAGUCAACCUGCUGACAGUGGACAUCAUGAAGAUAGACUCAGCCCCCUGAACCUGACCCUUUGCCUCAUUUGAGUAGCUUCUCCUCAAUAAAAGGGGUCAGCGCGUGCUCUCGCUCUCUCUCUUCCUGUGGACCCUUAAGGUCAGAGGAGCCGUCACAGUGAC